This is a non-coding RNA of Cinara cedri, 235 nucleotides long. The record is from the annotation of a GenBank genome assembly. Lineage: Eukaryota; Metazoa; Arthropoda; Insecta; Hemiptera; Aphididae.
UGUAAAAACUCAUAACCACUGUAGUAAUGUUAAGAAUCAGAUUUUUUAGACAAAAAGUAGCCUACGUUUUUCGUCAGAAUGCAAGCUAUCUCCUAAUCAAAUUUGAUCGAUAUCUUAUUCCAUUUUACGGUUUUAGCGUGAAAAGAUAAAAUACAGACGGGCAAAAUGUUCGCAUUAACCUUUAUAAAAAUUAGUUUAAUUUUUAUCAUGAGCCAUUUUGGAAACAGUGUGUGUG